AUUGAACGCUGGCGGCAGGCCUAACACAUGCAAGUCGAGCGAGCGGCGGACGGGAGAGUAAUGCCUGGGAAUUGCCCAGUCGGGGGGGAUCACAGGUGGAAACGACUGCUAAUACCGCAUAAGAGUGGAUUCCCCAGGUGGGAUUAGCGAGGGGGUGGGGUAAUGGCGCACCAAGGCGACGAUCCCGAGCUGGGCUGAGAGGAUGAUCAGCCACACGGGAACUGAGACACGGUCCAGACUCCUACGGGAGGCAGCAGUGGGGAAUAUUGCACAAUGGGGGAAAGCCUGAUACAGCCAUGCCGCGUGUAUGAAGAAGGCCUUCGGGUUGUAAAGCACUUUCAGCGAGGAGGCGUUACUCGCAGAAGAAGCACCGGCUAACUCCGUGCCAGCAGCCGCGGUAAUUC
RNAcentral lists this ribosomal RNA (404 nucleotides) under uncultured bacterium. RNAcentral describes it as "partial 16S ribosomal RNA". It matches the Rfam family "Bacterial small subunit ribosomal RNA", at positions 29 to 526 of the family's 1533-position model. The record is from RNAcentral.